Molecule: ribosomal RNA, 253 nt
Filed under: uncultured bacterium
Lineage: Bacteria
Description: partial 16S ribosomal RNA
Rfam family: Bacterial small subunit ribosomal RNA
Source: RNAcentral
UACGUAGGGUGCGAGCGUUGUCCGGAAUUACUGGGCGUAAAGAGCUCGUAGGCGGUUUGUCGCGUCGUCUGUGAAAACCAGCAGCUCAACUGCUGGCUUGCAGGCGAUACGGGCAGACUUGAGUACUGCAGGGGAGACUGGAAUCCCUGGUGUAGCGGUGAAAUGCGCAGAUAUCAGGAGGAACACCGGUGGCGAAGGCGGGUCUCUGGGCAGUAACUGACGCUGAGGAGCGAAAGCGUGGGUAGCGAACAGG